RNAcentral lists this small RNA (610 nucleotides) under Arabidopsis thaliana (thale cress). RNAcentral describes it as "ATSL201880". The record is from RNAcentral. Lineage: Eukaryota; Viridiplantae; Streptophyta; Magnoliopsida; Brassicales; Brassicaceae.
AAAAGGGUAAAUCGCCCUAUGUGCUAAGAUUAGAAGAAAAGCCUUAAGUUUGUCAAAGUUUAAAACCAAACCCGCUAGACUCUUAAAUCGUUUCAAGAGAACCCCUUAGAACAUGAACCAAAAAGAGAUAAAGAAUGAGAAAAAGGGUAGAGUUAGGACAUCUAUGGGAAUGGGAUCAUCUUCUGAGCUAUCAUAUUAUAUCAUUGGGUAGAUGGGAGUGUUCUUGUAUGUGUCCGUUGGCUUUUACCUUUUGCAUUUUACUAAAGCUCAAUCUUUUCUCUGAGAGUCCCCUGUUACUCGACCAAACCAUUAAAGGGACCAUUUUUGUCUCUUGGCCUAAGUCCAAAACCAAGUGAGUUCAUAACCAUUGCAUUGCUUGAUCCACUGUUCGUGCUUAAUGAAUGUUAAAGGGAAUUGGUUGAUGUGAAUGCUUGAAUAGAUUAAGGCAAGUCGUUAGGUUACAUUGUCACGAGUAUGGCUAGCGUUUUUGAGUAAGGGUCUAUCAUCUUGCAACCUAGAAUUUGCUACCUGGACAUUGAGCUUACCCAUUUUAUAUGCAUGCUUCGGUUUUUGAAUCCCCACAUUCAAACCUCUCCUUCAACUUAAGGUU